RNAcentral lists this ribosomal RNA (164 nucleotides) under uncultured bacterium. RNAcentral describes it as "partial 16S ribosomal RNA". It matches the Rfam family "Bacterial small subunit ribosomal RNA", at positions 371 to 525 of the family's 1533-position model. The record is from RNAcentral.
AUGGGCGAAGCCUGAUCCAGCCAUGCCGCGUGUGUGAAGAAGGUCUUCGGAUUGUAAAGCACUUUAAGUUGGGAGGAAGGGCAGUAAGUUAAUACCUUGCUAGUUUUGACGUUACCGACAGAAUAAGCACCGGCUAACUCUGUGCCAGCAGCCGCCGGGUAAUA